GCUCAAUGAUUUUUUAAAUUGCUGUAGUAUUUUGACUAUACAAAGGUAUUGAAAUAAGAUUUUAAUUGAAUGCUAAGAGAAUGGAAUUACAGAAAAUAGCUUUUUUUAGAUUAAAAAUUGAAAUUUUUUUAAUUUGUGCAGAAACAAUUAUUAAUAUUAAGGACAAGAAGACCCUAUGAAUUUAUAAAUUUAUUUUAUAUAUGUAAUUAAUAUAAAAUAAAUUUUGGUUGGGGCGACAAAAAAAAAUAAAAAACUUUUUUUUUAUAAAAUGAUCCAUUAUUAAUGAUUAUAUGAAAAAUACUCUAGGGAUAACAGCGUUAUAUUUUUUGAUAGCUCAUAUUGACAAAAAAGUUUGGGACCUCGAUGUUGGAUUAGGAUACUUUUUUAAUGAGGAUAUUAAAAAAAGAAGUUUGUUCAACUUUUAAUUCCUACUUGAUCUGAGUUCAGACCGG
RNAcentral lists this ribosomal RNA (452 nucleotides) under Rhipicephalus haemaphysaloides. Its description in RNAcentral is "partial 16S ribosomal RNA". The stretch from base 308 to 452 matches the Rfam family "Bacterial large subunit ribosomal RNA", at positions 2473 to 2619 of the family's 2925-position model. The record is from RNAcentral. Lineage: Eukaryota; Metazoa; Arthropoda; Arachnida; Ixodida; Ixodidae.